GAUGAACGCUGGCGGCGUGCCUAAUACAUGCAAGUCGAGCCAACAGACGAGGAGCUUGCUCCUCUGACGUUAGCGGCGGACGGGUGAGUAACACGUGGAUAACCUACCUAUAAGACUGGGAUAACUUCGGGAAACCGGAGCUAAUACCGGAUAAUAUAUUGAACCGCAUGGUUCAAUAGUGAAAGACGGUUUUGCUGUCACUUAUAGAUGGAUCCGCGCCGCAUUAGCUAGUUGGUCAGGUAACGGCUUACCAAGGCAACGAUGCGUAGCCGACCUGAGAGGGUGUUCGGCCACACUGGAACUGAGACACGGUCCAGACUCCUACGGGAGGCAGCAGUAGGGAAUCUUCCGCAAUGGGCGAAAGCCUGACGGAGCAACGCCGCGUGAGUGAUGAAGGUCUUCGGAUCGUAAAACUCUGUUAUUAGGGAAGAACAAAUGUGUAAGUAACUAUGCACGUCUUGACGGUACCUAAUCAGAAAGCCACGGCUAACUACGU
Molecule: ribosomal RNA, 496 nt
Filed under: uncultured bacterium
Lineage: Bacteria
Description: partial 16S ribosomal RNA
Rfam family: Bacterial small subunit ribosomal RNA
Source: RNAcentral